AGAGUUUGAUCAUGGCUCAGGAUGAACGCCGGCGGUGUGCCUAAUACAUGCAAGUCGUACGCACUGGCCCAACUGAUUGAUGGUGCUUGCACCUGAUUGACGAUGGAUCACCAGUGAGUGGCGGACGGGUGAGUAACACGUAGGUAACCUGCCCCGGAGCGGGGGAUAACAUUUGGAAACAGAUGCUAAUACCGCAUAACAACAAAAGCCACAUGGCUUUUGUUUGAAAGAUGGCUUUGGCUAUCACUCUGGGAUGGACCUGCGGUGCAUUAGCUAGUUGGUAAGGUAACGGCUUACCAAGGCGAUGAUGCAUAGCCGAGUUGAGAGACUGAUCGGCCACAAUGGAACUGAGACACGGUCCAUACUCCUACGGGAGGCAGCAGUAGGGAAUCUUCCACAAUGGGCGCAAGCCUGAUGGAGCAACACCGCGUGAGUGAAGAAGGGUUUCGGCUCGUAAAGCUCUGUUGCUGGAGAAGAACGUGCGUGAGAGUAACUGUUCACGCAGUGACGGUAUCCAGCCAGAAAGUCACGGCUAACUACGUGCCAGCAGCCGCGGUAAUACGUAGGUGGCAAGCGUUAUCCGGAUUUAUUGGGCGUAAAGCGAGCGCAGGCGGUUGCUUAGGUCUGAUGUGAAAGCCUUCGGCUUAACCGAAGAAGUGCAUCGGAAACCGGGCGACUUGAGUGCAGAAGAGGACAGUGGAACUCCAUGUGUAGCGGUGGAAUGCGUAGAUAUAUGGAAGAACACCAGUGGCGAAGGCGGCUGUCUGGUCUGCAACUGACGCUGAGGCUCGAAAGCAUGGGUAGCGAACAGGAUUAGAUACCCUGGUAGUCCAUGCCGUAAACGAUGAGUGCUAGGUAUUGGAGGGUUUCCGCCCUUCAGUGCCGGAGCU
Molecule: ribosomal RNA, 890 nt
Filed under: uncultured bacterium
Lineage: Bacteria
Description: bacterial SSU rRNA
Rfam family: Bacterial small subunit ribosomal RNA
Source: RNAcentral